GCCGGGGUCCCAUAGCGGCCAUUGGGGCGGCCUGGAGAGCCGCUGCCCCGUUGAGGGGCGCGCGGGUUCGAGUCCCGCCCCCGGCG
RNAcentral lists this transfer RNA (86 nucleotides) under Nitrososphaerota archaeon. RNAcentral's name for it is "tRNA-Ser". It matches the Rfam family "tRNA". Rfam says of the family: Transfer RNA (tRNA) molecules are approximately 80 nucleotides in length. RNAcentral also lists the same sequence under 2 other names. Lineage: Archaea; Thermoproteati; Nitrososphaerota. The record is from RNAcentral.